Molecule: ribosomal RNA, 253 nt
Filed under: uncultured bacterium
Lineage: Bacteria
Description: partial 16S ribosomal RNA
Rfam family: Bacterial small subunit ribosomal RNA
Source: RNAcentral
UACGAAGGGGGCUAGCGUUGUUCGGAAUUACUGGGCGUAAAGGGCUCGUAGGCGGCCAACUAAGUCAGACGUGAAAUCCCUCGGCUUAACCGGGGAACUGCGUCUGAUACUGGAUGGCUUGAGUUUGGGAGAGGGAUGCGGAAUUCCAGGUGUAGCGGUGAAAUGCGUAGAUAUCUGGAGGAACACCGGUGGCGAAGGCGGCAUCCUGGACCAACACUGACGCUGAGGAGCGAAAGCCAGGGGAGCAAACGGG